Long non-coding RNA from Amphibalanus amphitrite, 1174 nucleotides. RefSeq lists it as uncharacterized. The record is from RefSeq and is a predicted model, not a curated record. Lineage: Eukaryota; Metazoa; Arthropoda; Thecostraca; Balanomorpha; Balanidae. The transcript is spliced from 3 exons.
GCCACUCUAUCACGUGACCGCGCCGGGACACCAUCGGCCAAUCAGCGGACGCCGUGUACCGCCCGAGGGUAUGCGCUCACCGGGUCAGACUGCCAGAGUGCCGUGCGCUGAGGACGCGGAUCGUGCGGCGAGGCGCCAUGUUUGCCUGAACGGCGUAUUCUUGACAGCAUCACCUCGUUUGCUGACAUGCAGCUUCCACUUCUAUCGGAUUUCUGGAAGCUGACUUAUCACUUCUUAGAUCAGCAAUCGAUACAUGGUGUUCACUGCGACCUGCAAUAGCGUGCACUCGAUCUGCAAGCUGCGUGAGAACUUCAUCUGGCUCCCGAAGGUCACUGGCUGCGCCAACUGCUGCGCUGGAGUAGCCGUCACGGGACGUUUCUGGUACUGAUGUGUCUGGUGGCGGCGACUGCCGGGCUCUCGCAGGUCCGAAUCAAUCGCCGGGAGCGGUGGCAGGGUGUACCCGCUGUUCACAACGCCAACGUGGAAUACGGUACCGAGCACGGCCCGUGCAUCGGAGGGGCCUGUCGCUCCUACGUCGUCAACAGCGGAUUUACGAAUGACCUGCCCUCGCGAGCACUGGGCGCAGGUCUUACUGGUGGCCUGGGAACGGGUCACGGGAUUGGUGUUGUAACAGGUCACGGAAUAGGUCUUGGUGCAGGUCACGGUAUCGGUCUUGGCACGGGUCAUGAUCUGGGUCUUGGAACGAGCCACGGGAUUGGUCUUGUAACGAGCCACGGCAUUGGCUCUGGACCGAGCUACAACUAUGGUCACGGGUUUGGUAUAGGGCAGGGUCACAGGCUUGAUCAUGUGUCGAGCAUUAUUCCAGGAUCAGUUUACGGGACUACCCUCGGAGCAAGUCACAGCCUUGGUCUUGGUGCUGGCCACCAACUAGGACUUGGUGUGGGUCAAGCACAGAGAUACCAGACUGGGCAAGGACUCAGCUUCAGUUCUGGAGCUUACCGUGGAUUCAAAACAGCGGAGGCUUUCAAACUGGGCGCUGCCACAGCCCAUACGUGGUAGUUCAUGCAAUUAGUCAUGGAAAUGGAUUCAGGCAUGAACCAUCGCGACAUUGGUGGAAUGGGCUAUCAUUAAUGCAUAUGUGCGUAGUGUUAUGUGCAACAUUUGAUGUUUCCGAUGCCAUGAUGAAGUCGAACAAUACAUUUGGUGUGCACGA